RNAcentral lists this ribosomal RNA (429 nucleotides) under Chloroflexota bacterium. RNAcentral's name for it is "Chloroflexi bacterium partial 16S ribosomal RNA". It matches the Rfam family "Bacterial small subunit ribosomal RNA", at positions 355 to 776 of the family's 1533-position model. Lineage: Bacteria; Bacillati; Chloroflexota. The record is from RNAcentral.
UGGGGAAUAUUGCACAAUGGGCGCAAGCCUGAUGCAGCCAUGCCGCGUGUAUGAAGAAGGCCUUCGGGUUGUAAAGUACUUUCAGCGGGGGGGAAGGGAGUAAAGUUAAUACCUUUGCUCAUUGACGUUACCCGCAGAAGAAGCACCGGCUAACUCCGUGCCAGCAGCCGCGGUAAUACGGAGGGUGCAAGCGUUAAUCGGAAUUACUGGGCGUAAAGCGCACGCAGGCGGUUUGUUAAGUCAGAUGUGAAAUCCCCGGGCUCAACCUGGGAACUGCAUCUGAUAAUGGCAAGCUUGAGUCUCGUAGAGGAGGGUAGAAUUCCAGGUGUAGCGGUGAAAUGCGUAGAGAUCUGGAGGAAUACCGGUGGCGAAGGCGGCCCCCUGGACGAAGACUGACGCUCAGGUGCGAAAGCGUGGGGAGCAAACAGG